Molecule: ribosomal RNA, 824 nt
Filed under: Tylomelania gemmifera
Lineage: Eukaryota; Metazoa; Mollusca; Gastropoda; Pachychilidae
Also listed under: 1 other name
Description: partial 16S ribosomal RNA
Rfam family: Bacterial large subunit ribosomal RNA
Source: RNAcentral
CUAAAAUUAAUAAUAGAAAAUUUAUUAAUUUGUUUUGUAUCUUAGUUUACUGAGGAUAAGCUCAAUAAAAAUAAUAAAAUAGUAUACACCUUACUUAAUUAGCCACAUGGGCUUGAAAUUAGCCAUUGUAUUAAAGUUUGUUACAAAAUAGUCUUUAUAUGCAGAAAGAUCAAUAUACUUUUUUUACAGGGGUAACGUGAGAAACCAUGAUAUCUUGAUUCACUUAUGCUAGGAUGAGUAUUGAUGUAUAAGAUAUACAAAUGAAAAUAGAAAGAUAUAUAAAAUAACUUUACUUAAAACAAAAUAAGAAUAAGGAAUUCAGCAAACGCUUAGCUCCGCCUGUUUAUCAAAAACAUGGCUCUUUGUUAGUCAAAUAUAAAGAGUCAGACCUGCCCAGUGAAGAUUUAACGGCCGCGGUACUCUGACCGUGCAAAGGUAGCAUAAUCAUUUGCCUUAUAAUUGAAGGCUUGUAUGAAUGGUUUGACGGGAGCAUUACUGUCUUUUUCUUACUUUAUAGAACUUGACCUCUGGGUGAAGAGGCCCAGAUACAGUUGAAAGACAAAAAGACCCUGUCGAGCUUAAAAAGGAAUCAGAAUAAUUUUAUUAUCCAAAAUUAAUUACUGACUAAUUUUUUUGGUUGGGGCGACCAAGGAACAAAAAAGCUUCCUCUAUUCUCUUAGCUAAUAAGCAUGGAUCCAGAAAAAGCUGAUUAAAAGAAAUAGUUACCGCAGGGAUAACAGCAUAAUCUCUCUUGAGAGACCUAAUCGAAAGAGGGGGUUGUGACCUCGAUGUUGGACUAGAAUAUCCUAAAGAUGCAGAAGUCU